This 250-nucleotide ribosomal RNA is filed under the name uncultured archaeon. RNAcentral describes it as "partial 16S ribosomal RNA". It matches the Rfam family "Bacterial small subunit ribosomal RNA", at positions 524 to 773 of the family's 1533-position model. The record is from RNAcentral.
GACGUAGGAUGCAAGCGUUGUCCGGAUUCAUUGGGCGUAAAGAGUUCGUAGGCGGUUUGUUAAGUCUGAUGUUAAAGAUCGGGGCCCAACCCUGGGAGUGCAUUGGAUACUGGCAGACUGGAGUGCAGUAGAGGCGAGUGGAAUUCCCAGUGUAGCGGUGAAAUGCGUAGAUAUUGGGAAGAACACCGGUGGCGCAGGCGACUCGCUGGGCUGUAACUGACGCUGAGGAACGAAAGCUAGGGGAGCAAAU